AGGAUGAACGCUGGCGGCGUGCCUAAUACAUGCAAGUCGAACGAGGUCUUCGGACCGAGUGGCGAACGGGUGAGUAACACGUUGGUACCUACCCCGAAGUGGGGAAUAACUGCCCGAAAGGGUGGCUAAUACCGCAUAAUACCGCAAGGUUAAAGCAGUAAUGCGCUUCGGGAGGGGCCUGCGUCCCAUUAGCUAGUUGGUAGGGUAAUGGCCUACCAAGGCGACGAUGGGUAGCUGGAUCGAGAGGUUGACCAGCCACACUGGGACUGAGAUACGGCCCAGACUCCUACGGGAGGCAGCAGUAAGGAAUCUUCCACAAUGGACGAAAGUCUGAUGGAGCAACGCCGCGUGCAGGAUGACGGCCUUCGGGUUGUAAACUGCUUUUAUAGUGGGAAGAUUAUGACGGUACCAUAUGAAUAAGGACCGGCUAACUACGCGCCAGCAGCCGC
RNAcentral lists this ribosomal RNA (449 nucleotides) under uncultured bacterium. RNAcentral describes it as "SSU rRNA". It matches the Rfam family "Bacterial small subunit ribosomal RNA", at positions 26 to 518 of the family's 1533-position model. The record is from RNAcentral.